UGCCAGCCGCCGCGGUAAUACGGAGGUUGCAAGCGUUGUUCGGAAUUACUGGGCGUAAAGGGGGCGCAGGCGGUUCGAUUAGUCUGGAGUGAAAGCCCGGGGCUCAACCCCGGAAGGCCUUUGGAUACUGUCGAACUAGAGUACGGGAGAGGAGAGCGGAAUUCCUGGUGUAGCGGUGAAAUGCGUAGAUAUCAGGAGGAACAUCAGUGGCGAAGGCGGCUCCCUGGCCAAAGACUGACGCUCAUGUGCGAAAGUGUGGGUAGCGAACAGGAUUAGAUA
RNAcentral lists this ribosomal RNA (279 nucleotides) under uncultured bacterium. RNAcentral describes it as "partial 16S ribosomal RNA". It matches the Rfam family "Bacterial small subunit ribosomal RNA", at positions 506 to 784 of the family's 1533-position model. The record is from RNAcentral.